GGGUAUCGCCAAGCGGUAAGGCACCGGUUUUUGAUACCGGCAUUCCCUGGUUCGAAUCCA
RNAcentral lists this transfer RNA (60 nucleotides) under Escherichia coli. Its description in RNAcentral is "tRNA-Gln". It matches the Rfam family "tRNA", at positions 3 to 61 of the family's 71-position model. Rfam says of the family: Transfer RNA (tRNA) molecules are approximately 80 nucleotides in length. Their secondary structure includes four short double-helical elements and three loops (D, anti-codon, and T loops). The record is from RNAcentral. Lineage: Bacteria; Pseudomonadati; Pseudomonadota; Gammaproteobacteria; Enterobacterales; Enterobacteriaceae. RNAcentral also lists the same sequence under 1 other name.